UGGUGAUACUCAAUUGAUGAAUGGGCUUCCACAGAAUAGUUUACCUGGUAACCUUAUUGAAUGUGGCUCAGUGGUUUCAGAGUCCCACUAGAGUAGCUAAUAUUGGAGUAAACUCUUUCGUAAUUGUAAUCGGUGGGUGUCACGGAGUAGGCUGAUACCUAUGGAGUGUACAGACGUUAAAUGGGGGUAAGACUGAACUGUGUAUAUACACUCACUAUACCAAACAUUGGGAACACCUUCCUAACAUUGAGUUGAAUCCCCCCUUUAACAGCAUCCAUUCAUCAGGACAUGGACUCUACAAGGUGUUGAAAGCGUUCCACAGGGAUGCUGGCUCAUGUUGACUCCAAUGCUUCCCACAGUUGUGUCAAGUUGGCUGGAUGUCCUUUGGGUGGUGGAACAUUCUGGAUACACACAGGAAACUGAGUGUGAAAAACCCAGCAGCGUUGCAGUUCUUGACACAAACUGGUGCGCCUGGCUCCUACUACCAUACCCCGUUCAACAGCACUUACAUCUUGUGUCUUCCCCAUUCACCCUCUGAAUGGCACACAUACACAAUCCAUGUCUCAAGGCUUAAAAAUCCUUCUUUAACCUGUCUCCUCCCCUUCAGCUACACUGAUUGAAGUGGAUUUAACAAGUGACAUCAAUAAGGGAUCAUAGCUUUCACCUGGUCAGUCUGUCAUGGAAAGAGGUGUUCUUAAAUGUGGAGUAUGCCCCCUACGCAAUUAUACAGUAACACAUCCACAGUGGGAUUUGGACUUUUAAUUUUAUUUAACUAGGCAAGUCCAUUAAGAACAAAUUCUUAUUUACAAUGACAGCCUACCCCAGCCAAACAUCACGAUGGGGGUAUUGUGUGUAGAUUGAUGAGGAAAAUAUCAGUUUUAGAAUAUGGCUUUUAACGUAAGAAAAUGUGGAAAAAGGGGUCCGAAUGCACUGUAUGUAGCAAUUAGCCCGGGGGAAAAAGGCUGCGCUAGGCCCGGGGGGAUAAAGGCUGCGCUAGGCCCGGGGGGAUAAAGGCUGCGCUAGGCCCGGGGGGAUAAAGGCUGCGCUAGGCCCGGGGGGAUAAAGGCUGCGCUAGGCCCGGGG
RNAcentral lists this long non-coding RNA (1083 nucleotides) under Salmo salar (Atlantic salmon). RNAcentral's name for it is "lncRNA (ENSSSAG00000112957.1)". Lineage: Eukaryota; Metazoa; Chordata; Actinopteri; Salmoniformes; Salmonidae. The record is from RNAcentral.